CCUCGGUAGUUCUAUGGUUCGGGAGACCCUGUCUUCCUUCCGUGGCUCUACGUCUUUACACACACACGACGUCUCAUGGAAUGUUUUUCGCGUUUAACGCAAUNCAAUACAACUUUCAGCAACGGAUCUCUUGGCUCUCGCAUCGAUGAAGAACGCAGCGAAAUGCGAUAAGUAAUGUGAAUUGCAGAAUUCAGUGAAUCAUCGAAUCUUUGAACGCACCUUGCGCCCCUUGGUUAUUCCUUGGGGCAUGCCUGUUUGAGUAUCAUGAACACCUCAACUCUCAUGGUCUUCCAUGACGAGCUUGGACUUUGGAGGUUUGCUGGCCCUGCGGCCGGCUCCUCUCAAACAAAUCAGCUUGCCAGUGUUUGGCGGCAUCUCACGGGUGUGAUAACUAUCUACGCUCGCGGUUGUCUGCCAGGUAACCCUCAGCGAUGAAGGUUCAUUGGGGCUCAUAAACGUCUCUCCUCGGCGAGGACAGCUUUUGAACGUUCGAUCUCAAAUCAGGUAGGACUACCCGCUGA
RNAcentral lists this ribosomal RNA (521 nucleotides) under Tomentella ellisii. RNAcentral's name for it is "eukaryotic LSU rRNA". The stretch from base 111 to 265 matches the Rfam family "5.8S ribosomal RNA". Lineage: Eukaryota; Fungi; Basidiomycota; Agaricomycetes; Thelephorales; Thelephoraceae. The record is from RNAcentral.